This 229-nucleotide long non-coding RNA is filed under the name Chelonoidis abingdonii (Abingdon island giant tortoise). Its description in RNAcentral is "lncRNA (ENSCABG00000010699.1)". The record is from RNAcentral. Lineage: Eukaryota; Metazoa; Chordata; Testudines; Testudinidae.
AUAACAUGGGACGGAGACACUGGGUCAGGACCACCAAAUGCCAGCUGCUAGUGACCAGCCUCUUUGUCAUGCUGCUGGGGCUGGCAGUCACCAUACUGACCGUUAUCACCCGCUAUGGGGCUCACUUCAGUAUAAUCAGUGAUGUCUCCUAUGAGGCUAACCCCUAUAGAAUCUUCCACAACGUAGCAUUCUACAGUGGGAUAUGUCUGAGCAUGAUACUGGUCCUCGC